Molecule: long non-coding RNA, 1968 nt
Organism: Oryzias javanicus (javanese ricefish)
Lineage: Eukaryota; Metazoa; Chordata; Actinopteri; Beloniformes; Adrianichthyidae
Source: Ensembl
UUCUGGGUCAGAUUGGGGUUUGUUUUUGCAGUAAAUGCAGCGUUACUGUGUUGUUCCUGUUUAUUGAUCAGUUUAUUGUUGUUGUUGUUGUGCUCAGGUUCUGGCUGCAGCCAUGUUGGACCUCCAGCAGGAGCAGUCCUGGGAUCUGACCCGCUGUCUGUUCAGAGGACCGUCCAGGCUGUCCAUCCUCGCCGAGCCCUCCCUCGGAGACGCCUCCGAGAAGACGGCCCUUCACCCCCCAGGCCAAGAAGCCAGCGAGACCUUCUUCCUCAAGCUGGCCCCCCCACCUUUGUUUGAGGACUAGAAGCUGGGGAUCCACAGAAAGAGGAUCUCCUCACGUCUGCGUCUCAAUUCGGAUGUUUUUCAUGUUUGUUCGUCUGGAUUUAUGCAGUUUUAUUUAACAGAAACUGAAUUAUUUUAAUCUCAUUCCAGGAUUUUUUAAGUGUUUCUCUAGAUUAUGAAAGACUCAUGACAACUCUAUUAAAUCUGAGCUGCUCCUCUCUGCUGUCCUUCAUUUAACUGAACUAAGUGGAAAUUCUGCAGGUAAGAUGAGUGGAAAAACUGGAGGCGUUAAUCCUCAUGAAUCCCAUGAAGAUUUAACUGAAAAUUCUCUUAUUUUUUUUUAAGUUAUUUUUGUCAUUUUUGUUUAGAUUUUUAUCAUGAGUUAAAGAUUUAAUCUAAUGUCAGAAAGGUUUAUUAUUAGAAUCUUCUCUAUGGAAUAUUUUCUCUUCUUCUGCUGCUCAACAGAGUUGAGUUGCUGUUCAGAUGUAAAGAUCUUAAAGUAUAAAACUAUAUUUACAGGCACUGAUGUAAAAGAAAAUAUAAUUCUACACCAGUGUUGUCCUGUUUAAAUUCAAUAGUAAAAACAAAAUAAGAAUGAAGGAACUCUAAAGUUAUCAAUAGUAAAUUUGAUGUUUGAGUUACCGUAUUUUCUGGACUAUAAGGCGCACCUGUAUAUAAGCCGCACCUGCUCAGUUUAAAAAAAAAAGAAAAAAAAAAGAAAUACAAGCCGCACUGGGCUAUAAGCCGCAGAUAUCUAGGUUGAAAAAUAAGAUGAUUACUAUAACUAUUUUGUACUUUUGUACAUGUAUGUUCUUGCUGUCUCCAGCGUCUCACCAUAGAUUUAUUGAUGCUAAGCUUGUGUGCAGCAGUGCGGUUUCCUUCCUAGAUAGCAAGCUUCAUAUCUUUUGACUUAAAAUGUCCACCACACAAACUUCUUUGUGUGAUUUCCACCAUGAAGAAGGAUUUUAAAAAUAAUUACCAGUUAGUAAUUUGUCACGAGUGUUCUAUCAGCUAAAAAAAAAGUAGCGUUGGCUUUUCUGAUUUGCAUUGAUUUUUGUCUAUCUUGUUUUUGAUUCAAAUUCCGGUUACAGCUUCCCUAGCAGAGGAAGAAAAAUCCACAGAAUAGCCGCACCUUUGUAUAAGCCGCAUGAUUCAAAACCUAGGAAAAAAGUAGCGGCUUAUAGUCCAGAAAAUACGGUAAUUUAAUUUUUCAUUUGAGUAAUCUGAUGGAGGAUCUUUUUAACACUGCGUGUGUUUUAUUUUGAAAGGAAGUGGUUUAUGUUGCUAUCAAUAGUAAAACAAAAACUACAUUUUAUAAAUGAAUGGCUUAAUGACCACAAUAAGUAUUUUUCUUAAUUGCUGUUGGUGGGUUGAAGUCUGUAAGAAACUGGACCAAAAGGCUCUUAUGGCAUUAAGUGGGAGGGGCCUCUGGUAACAUGCAAAAUGGCACCAUCAACGAUCUCUUAACCGGAAGCAAAAAUUUCUCAACUUGAGCCAGUUGCAAAAUUUCCUAAACUUUAGGAAACCCUUUCAACAAUGAUCUUUUAAAAACUUUUCAGAACUGUCAGCUUUUAAGCUUUUAAAAGUGAAUAAACUGUAACUAACAGUUUAGUGUAUAGAUGAUCUUCAAAUGGGACAAAGAAAGUUUAACCUUUUAUUUAUUUCAAGUUAAUAUUAACAACUGUU